This is a long non-coding RNA of Cucurbita maxima (winter squash), 164 nucleotides long. RefSeq lists it as uncharacterized. The transcript has 3 exons. Lineage: Eukaryota; Viridiplantae; Streptophyta; Magnoliopsida; Cucurbitales; Cucurbitaceae. The record is from RefSeq and is a predicted model, not a curated record.
CUCAGGAGUGUUCAUAGAUUGCUAGUGUGAGAACAAUAUCUAUAGCUUCGUGGGAGGACCAAGGGUCCCUGAUUAGUCCUUACUGCUCUUAGCCAUUUCGCAUGGGAAAUGUGUCCCCACGUCGUACAACCUAUUAACUGCAUGGGAACGGGAUGGGUUGAGUU